UUUUCUUUUUCUAUUUAACAGGGUAAAUGUGGGAAUAGGGGCUGGUGAGAUAACUCAGUGAUUAAGAGCACUGACUGCUCUUCUGGAGGUCAUGAGUUCAAAUCCCAGCAACCACAUGGUGGCUCAUAACCAUUCGUAAUGAGAAACAAAUUAAAACAAACAAACAAACAAACAAACAAACAUAAAACAGCCUAUGGGUUGGAGCAAGCAGGGCUGGAGCAAGAGGGAGAAGGGAAGGGGGGAAAGGAAAAAAAAAAGUAUAAAUUACUUGUUUAAAAAAAAAGUGUGGAAAUAGACAUGGGACUGGUAGGGCUAGGUAAGUUUUAUGCGAUGUAAGGGAGAGCUGUAGUUUUGAGUCUGAUGCUUAAGAGAGGACAGUAGGGAUUUUGGUUCAUACCUGUAAUCCUCAGGAGGGUCUCAAGUUUGAGGCUUGCCUAGGAUACAUGGUAAGACCUUGACUCCAAACAACAACAAACAAAAACCAAGUAAUGAAAAUGGCUAGGAGAGGGCUGGCAAGAUGGCUCAGUGGUUAAGAGCGCUGACUGCUCUUCCAAAGGUCCACUUACAUAUAAUAAAUAAAUAAAUUCUUUAAAAAGAAAACGGCUAAGAGAAAGGGAAGGUGUAAAGUGGUAUGUAGUGUCAGCAGCAUUGAGACUUGGGAGCUUCUUAGAAACAGGAUCUGGCCCUAUCCCCAAACUACGAAAUUCAAAACUUGCAUUUUACCAGGACCUACCUUCAUGUGUUCCUGCUAACAUUAAAUCUUGAGAGGUACUACUGGCUGAAGGUAGACUCUAGGACCAAGCUGCCUAUAUAUAACAGGUAGAGUUUUCUCAUUGUGUGUGUGUGUGUGUGUGUGUACGUUGGAGAUCAGAGGAAACUUCUGUGAAGCCAGUUCUCCCACUAUCACUGGAGGAUUGAAUUCAGGUCAUCAGGCUUGCAAGACAGACACACAACACUUGUUGAACCUUCUCGUCAACCCCAGGCUGCCAAAACUUAAAUUCUUGUUUUAUCAAUCUACUUAUGUGGGACCUUAGGGAUGCUUUUUAACCCGUACCAAGGACCUAUUAUGUAAGAGAUGGAGGGUCAACUCUAAUAAUCUGUCACUUAUUUUUGACUUACUGUAAAAGUUUUUGUUGUCUUAAAAGAUUUACUUUCGGUGUCUGGGUAUUUUGCCUGCGUGGAUAUCUGUAUACUACAUGUGUCCAGUGCCUAAGGUACUCCUGUAACUGAAUUAAUGGUUGUGAGCCAUAUGGGUGCUGGGAAUAGAACCCAGCUUCUCUGGAAGAGAGGCCAGUGCUCUUAAGCACUGAGCCAUUUCUCCAGCUCUUUAGAGACAGGGCUCUACUAUGUGAACCCUCUCAGUUCACCAGUUCCUGAACAACUGUGCUUUCCCAUUUAUAGAGUGGUGAAGCUUAAUUACGCCUGUCUCACGGAGAUGCUGCAAGAGUCAAAUCAUAGAAUGUCUGUUAAAUUACAAAACCUCCUAUUAAAACUUAAUUUACCAGUGAGGUGGUGGUGGUGUACACCUUUGAUUCCUGUCUCGAGAAGACUUAAUUUACUACCUUGCAAGGUAUUCUUAAGAAACUGACCUCAAAAUAGGGUGCAAUAAGAAGGCCAGGAGAGCUGUAUAGGAAAUGGUCCUUUUUAUUUCUGACUAACCUACAGCUCCAUUCAGGAGCAGGAGUAGACUCAUAUGCAGUGGUUCACAAUUUACUUAAAAACUUCUUCUUUUUUCUUGUUUUGGUCUCGGUGUCUCUUGCAGUCCAGUCUGACCCUGCAUUCCUCAUCUUCUUCCACUUCUACAGUGCUGAGAUUAUAAAUGUAAUUCAUAAUGAACUAGGAAAAGAACUUUCAUUCACGUUGUGUAUCUUAAUAUUCCCACAGGGUAGUUUUUCUCGUGUGUCCAUCCUAACAUCCCUUAGUGCUAGGAAUCCGAUUCAGGUCUCCAGGUCUUGCACAUACUUGACAAGCAAUCUGCCAUUGAGCUAGAUGUCCUCCCAGUGGUUACCCUAGUUUUCACGGGAAUCUGCUAACAGAAGGAUGCACACUAACAAUUCCUCAAGAUUUGCACUUUCAUUGCAUCCGAUGCUACCAGAGUUCUUUAUUUAGAGGGAGGACACAACAAAAUUCGAUGGGAUUUAUAAUACUAGAAAUUAACUUUGAGUUCUUGGAUCAGAGAAACAAUAUAUUGGGUCCCUAUCGAUCUGUAAAAUAGGGGCACAAGGCCUCCACAACAUUGUGUGGUUAAGAACAAAGGCUGAUGGUGAACCUACCAUGUCGUAGUGCCUCAAGUAAGUCCCUUCUUCCCUUUGUCAGAUUUUGCACGAGAUAUCACUACCUCUCCUACUUCGUACAUGGCGUAACUCCAAGCUGAGACCGCUCGGAUUCCUUUCCUCCACUUGCAACUCCUAACACCGAGAAAGGUGUACGGGCCACUGUGAGGUCUUCUCUCUCCGUAGUGGAUAACCUUUCUUGAGUUGUCGUUUGGGUGGCUGGAAGACGCUGAUGACUACUCCCAAGCGUCUACGGAACCAGAUCUUAAUCCUCAACUGGGCAUCAGGGACCAAGCUGUGUUCUUUUCAUCCCAACCCUCGCUAGAGUGAAAAGGUCGAAGCUCAGCUCCAAUUACAGACGCCAUCUUGACCGCUACGUGUGACGCCACACGUACAGCCGAAAGAGCAGCUGAUUGGCUGGGAAAGACCGGAGGAUAGGCGCGCGAAGCUGGAGACUGGAGGGUAAUGUAGAAGCCGAAAGGAACUACACUCCCAGACUUCCUUGCGCAUGUGACCAGCAAGCAGCAAGAGAAAGAGGAGCGAGGUUGGACUCGGACUACAACUCCCACUAGGACCCGCGUUGUCCGCCCUUUCCUUUCAAAAGGCAGAGGAAAAGGGACAGGAAGAAUGGAGGCUUUUGAGUGCUCGUUUCUCAAAAGGCGGGAAAGGCGAACUACACCUCCCGGCGAGCCGCGCGCGCCUGCGCCUGCGCUCUGGUAUCUGUCGCCAUCUUGCCCCUUCUGAGGCACCGCAAACAAACCUAAUUCCUGGUGUCCCCUAGUCUUGGCGGAGGAGCCUUUUAGAUGAGCCCCGAAAGGCCGGGCAGGGAGGACAAGCUCUUUGGGGCUACCAGACAGAAGCAGCAAUGCCUGUUGUGUGGCCAACCCUUUUGGAUCUCAGCAGGGAUGAAUGCAAACGGAUUCUUCGAAAAUUGGAACUGGAGGCAUAUGCUGGAGUUAUCAGUGCACUUCGGGCACAAGGGGACCUCACCAAGGAAAAGAAAGAUCUUCUUGGAGAGCUCUCAAAAGUCCUUAGCAUCUCAACAGAGCGCCACCGUGCUGAAGUUCGGAGAGCAGUAAACGAUGAACGGUUAACAACAAUUGCACAUAAAAUGAAUUUAUCCUUAUAUUUGGGUGAAAGACCAAGUUACAGUAUGUCUGGACCUAAUAGUUCUUCAGAGUGGUCCAUCGAAGGACGUAGAUUGGUACCUCUGAUGCCCAGGCUGGUUCCCCAGACUGCCUUCACUGUAACAGCGAAUGCUGUGGCCAAUGCAGCUGUCCAGCACAAUGCGUCCCUUCCUGUGCCUGCAGAGACAGCAAGCAAAGACGUAGUGGUUUGCUAUUCCUACACAAGUACCACGUCUACCCCAACCUCUACCCCUGUUCCAAGUGGCAGCAUAGCAACGGUUAAGUCUCCAAGACCUGCCAGUCCUGCCUCCAGUGUAGUUGUCUUGCCAAGUGGAAGUACUGUAUAUGUCAAAAGCGUUAGCUGCUCAGAUGAAGAUGAAAAACCCAGAAAACGCAGGCGAACAAACUCCUCUAGCUCCUCCCCUGUUGUCCUCAAGGAAGUUCCAAAGGCUGUUGUUCCGGUCUCAAAGACGAUCACUGUGCCUGUGAGUGGAAGUCCCAAGAUGAGCAACAUUAUGCAGAGCAUUGCCAACUCCUUACCACCCCAUAUGUCACCUGUGAAAAUAACGUUUACCAAACCAUCAACACAGACAACAAACACAACAACACAGAAGGUUAUUAUAGUGACCACAUCACCAAGUUCAACCUUUGUGCCCAACAUUCUCUCCAAAUCUCAUAACUAUGCAGCAGUCACUAAGCUUGUACCAACAUCAGUCAUUGCCUCCACGACUCAGAAGCCACCUGUUGUUAUAACUGCGUCCCAGGCCUCUCUGGUCACCAGUAGCAGCAAUGGCAACAGCAGUUCUACGUCAUCACCUAUUUCUAGUACAGUUGCAGUAACAACGGUGGUAUCUUCCACACCGUCCGUGGUCAUGUCAACAGUAGCACAAGGUGUAUCCACAUCAGCAAUCAAAGUGGCAUCGACAAGACUUCCUUCCCCCAAAAGCUUAGUGAGUGGCCCUACCCAGAUUCUUGCACAGUUUCCUAAACAGCAUCAGCAGUCUCCUAAGCAGCAGUUACAGCAAGUACAACAACAGACACAGCAGCCAGUGGCCCAGCCUUCUUCAGUGUCUCAGCAGCAGCAGCCUCAGCAGUCAGCAUUGCCGCCUGGUAUCAAACCUACCAUCCAGAUCAAACAGGAGUCAGGUGUUAAAAUCAUCACACAGCAGGUUCAACCAAGUAAAAUCUUACCCAAACCAGUGACUGCAACUCUACCCACCAGUAGCAAUUCCCCAAUUAUGGUGGUUAGCAGUAAUGGUGCAAUUAUGACAACUAAACUGGUAACCACUCCUACCGGUACUCAGGCAACCUAUACCCGGCCAACAGUGAGCCCAUCCUUAGGUCGUGUGGCUACAACCCCUGGAGCUGCAACCUAUGUGAAAACUACCAGUGGCAGCAUCAUCACUGUAGUACCCAAAUCAUUAGCUACCUUGGGAGGCAAGAUAAUUAGCAGUAAUAUUGUUUCUGGAACGACUACCAAAAUCACUACAAUCCCAAUGACUUCCAAGCCCAAUGUGAUUGUUGUACAAAAGACUACAGGAAAAGGAACGACCAUUCAAGGCCUCCCUGGCAAAAACGUUGUCACAACCUUGCUAAAUGCUGGAGGAGAAAAGACUCUUCAGACAGUGCCAGCUGGAGCCAAGCCAGCUAUAAUUACUGCUACAAGACCCAUCACCAAAAUGAUUGUAACACAGCCCAAAGGAAUAGGUUCCGCAGUACAGCCAGCAGCUAAAAUCAUUCCAACAAAAAUUGUGUAUGGACAACAAGGGAAAACACAGGUUCUAAUUAAACCCAAACCAGUGACAUUUCAAGCUACAGUUGUCAGUGAACAAACAAGGCAGCUGGUAACAGAAACAUUACAGCAAGCAUCCAGGGUAGCAGAUGCCAGUAAUUCAUCUGCUCAGGAAGGAAAAGAGGAGCCACAGGGUUACACAGACAGUAGUUCUUCUUCCACAGAGUCCUCCCAGAGUUCUCAAGAUUCCCAGCCUGUAGUUCAUGUAAUUGCUUCCCGGCGUCAGGAUUGGUCAGAACAUGAGAUUGCAAUGGAGACUAGCCCCACCAUAAUAUAUCAGGAUGUAUCCAGUGAAUCACAAUCAGCCACUUCAACAAUCAAAGCUCUGUUAGAACUCCAACAGACAACAGUAAAGGAAAAAUUGGAAUCUAAACCAAGACAACCCACUAUUGACUUGAGUCAAAUGGCAGUACCUAUUCAGAUGACCCAGGAAAAGAGACAUUCUCCUGAGAGUCCAUCCAUUGCUGUGGUAGAGUCAGAACUAGUUGCUGAAUACAUCACCACGGAACGCACUGAUGAGGGGACAGAGGUUGCUUUUCCCCUUCUAGUCAGCCAUCGCUCCCAGCCCCAACAGCCUUCCCAGCCCCAGCGGACCCUGCUUCAACAUGUGGCUCAGUCACAGACUGCGACGCAGACUUCGGUGGUAGUAAAGUCCAUCCCAGCGUCUUCCCCUGGAGCAAUCACCCACAUCAUGCAGCAGGCAUUAAGCAGUCACACCGCUUUUACGAAACACAGUGAGGAACUUGGAACUGAGGAGGGUGAGGUUGAAGAGAUGGACACAUUGGAUCCUCAGACAGGUCUGUUUUACCGCUCUGCCCUGACACAAUCGCAGUCAACCAAACAGCAGAAACUUAGCCAGCCCCAGCUGGAACAGACUCAGCUGCAAGUGAAAACUCUGCAGUGCUUCCAGACCAAACAGAAGCAGACCAUCCACCUGCAGGCAGACCAACUCCAGCACAAACUCACACAGAUGCCCCAGCUCUCUAUCAGGCAUCAGAAACUGAAUCCUCUCCAGCAGGAACAAGCACAGCCCAAGCCAGAUGCACAGCACACACAGCAUACUGUGGUGGCCAAAGACAGGCAGCUUCCUACCUUAAUGGCACAGCCCCCGCAAACUGUAGUACAGGUGCUUGCCGUGAAAACCACACAGCAGCUUCCUAAACUGCAGCAAGCUCCGAACCAACCAAAAAUCUACGUGCAACCCCAAACUCCUCAGAGCCAGAUGGCACUCCCCUCUUCAGAGAAACAGCCUGCAAGCCAGGUUCCUUAAAAGAAAACAGAACCUUCCCAUCCACCCUCUUACUAAAACAUCGAGCUUCAAAUGUCUUCCUAGUAUACCGCACGAAUGUUUCUUUUACCAUAUUUUCUGGAGUGUUUGAUUAGUUUUUCCUCAAAGAGAUGUAGCUAUAAUACACACAACCCCAAUUUGUUUUCAGGUGGAGCAGCCAAUUAUAACUCAAGGAUCCUCUGUUACAAAGAUAACAUUUGAGGGGCGCCAGCCUCCCACAGUUACAAAGAUAACUGGUGGCAGUUCUGUUCCUAAGCUGACAUCACCAGUUACAAGCAUAUCUCCCAUUCAGGCCUCUGAGAAGACAGCAGUGUCAGACAUUUUGCAAAUGUCUUUGAUGGAAGCUCAGAUUGAUACAAAUGUAGAACAUAUGGUAGUGGAUCCCCCAAAGAAGGCUCUAGCCACCAAUGUGCUCACUGGUGAGGCAGGAGCUCUACCCUCCACCCAUGUGGUGGUGGCAGGGAUGACGAAAUGUAGAGAGUCCUGUUCAAGUCCAUCUGCUGUUGGCCCUCCCCUAACGACCAGAAAAAUCGAAGCAGCAGGAGUGCCUACGACAGGCCAGUUCAUGCGUAUUCAGAAUGUAGGCCAAAAGAAAGCUGAAGAGAGCCCAACAGAAAUUAUCAUCCAGGCCAUUCCCCAGUAUGCUAUUCCUUGUCACUCCAGCUCCAAUGUGGUGGUGGAGCCCAGUGGGCUUCUAGAGUUGAACAACUUCACCAGUCAGCAGCUAGAUGACGACGAGACAGCCAUGGAGCAGGACAUAGACAGCAGCACGGAGGACGGGACUGAGCCCAGCCCCUCUCAGAGCGCUGUAGAACGGUCCUAGUGUGCAGACGCCGGAGUGCACUUUAGAGCCUGCGUGGUUACCAAAUGUCCAGGGAAACUUAAAAUUUGUUAUAGUAAAAAAGAAAAAAAAAAAAAAGAAAGAAAGAAAAAAGCACUUUGCUCAUAUUUAGGCUGGGGACCUAGAAGCAUUUUAACAAAAUUAAACUCACAGAGGAAUGUACUUUAAAAAAAAAAAAUAGAAAAAGAAAAAAAAAAAAGCAGAGGAAACGAUGCACCCCAUGGAGCCCGGCACCUUGUUGGUGCUAAGCAGCGAGAAGAGACUUUCCUGUGAGUGGUCCUCGACUGCUUUCCACUGAGCAAAUACCACCAGAGAGUAUGAAAAGGAAAAGAAAGGAGAAUAUGAAGAGUUUGUAUUUUUGAAAUGAUGUAUCUGAACAGUUUUUCAAAAAUUGUGUUUGUUUUUGCAAAUCCCUGGAGAUGUUGAUUUGGCUAGCAUUUUACAUUUGCUCAGUUCAUGAUUAGUUUAUGAAUACCUAGGGAAGUCCUGGCAUUGGAGUCCUUGCUGGACGGUAGACAUCAGUCAGGUUGCUGCCUGGGCAGUUUGGGGUGGCUUGUACAUGUGCUCCUUGGUUGUAUACUAAUUUAUUGUGGAGUUCCACACUUGCCUAUUUAUUUAAUGUAAAUGUUUUGAAGCAGGCCGAAUCCCUUUUCCUACAUGUCCUGGGAAGCUGGAUCCCUGGCCUUCCCACCUUCCCACCCCCUCACCCCCCUUUAAGAAGACGGAUUAGAGAAGAUUUGGUCCGGAAGCAGAGGAAAAGACAUUUCUAGCCCAAAGGAAAUGCUCAGUGGUGUUCCUGAAAAUGAGCUCUGCUCAUUGGAUGCUUUCUCGACACCGACGUUGCACACCCGUGUUGGACUGAGACUUUGAAAACAACUUUGACUUACUUUGGUUUAAAUCCUUUGAAAUGUAUGAAAAUGUUCACUUACAGUUCUAAAUGUAAUGUUUUUAAGUUUUUAAUUUUUUAGGGUGCAGUUUGUUUACGUGCAGGUGUGGUCUUGUGAUUGCUGUCUAUCACAAGUAGAGUGAAGGGUAAGGGAUGGGAGGGUAAGAAUUUUGACAAGCUGUGGCAAAGGAAACUAUACCUUUCAUUUUUAAAAAGUGUAAAUAGAAAAGUUUUUAACGGUUUUAUAUGAAUUUCACUAUAAAUAAGCAUUUUAAGACUGACAAAUGUUGAACUGUAUAUACAUUUAUCAACUUAACUGCCCAGUUUUUGGUGCUGAAGUACUGUAAGUAGAAUUUAUCAGUAGCGUCCUAAUUUCUGUGUCUACACCUGGGGAGAAGCUGUGAUGCUGUAGUUAAUCAACUUACACAAGUGCUUACACUUGUGUAACUUACACUGAUAAUCUCGGCAGGAGCAUCCCUGAGACACCUACCUUGUGGUGGUGAUUGUCCCCAUUUCUACUAGGUGAAAGUUACUCACCCAUAGAUGGAGCUCUUGGAUAGCAUUUUAUUGUACAAAUGUGUUUCAACAACCACUUUGUGACUGUUCCUAGCUAAGGGGAAAUUUAACUUCUCUUGGGUCAUAGACAUCUUUAAGAAGCUGAUUAUUCUAUGAACUCUCUCACCAAAAAAAUACACAUGCCAGGACACGUGUUAAGAUUUUGCAUACAAUUUUAGGGACUUAAGAACUCCCAAGACCAUCCAUGUAUUCCAGGUUAAGCCUUCUGUUAUGGUCAGCUCAUUACUUACAGGUGUAAGUUUUUAUCAAAUAAAAUAUCUUUUGGAUACACAUGGAUCAGGAAAUAAGAACAAACUUGAAUAAGUUAUGUUCCAUCUCUACUAUCAGCAUACCAUGUCCGUGUUUUGAGAAUAUAGCCUCUCUGUGCUCCAGCAGGUUAAAUGACAAAUGAGUCUACUUUAGUCUGCUUUUAAAGAAUCACUUGUGCAUAUAUAUUUGCACACAUACAUGAAUAUCAAGUAAGAUUUAUUUUUUUUCCUUUGAAUGGUUCUAAUGCCAAAUAGAGCAUGAUUUUAUGAACAAAUAAUAUUCACUCCUAUUUUAUGUGCCAGGUAAGGCUCUAGCCACCAAGGCUAUUACAGUGAGGACAUGGGAAAUCCUACCCAGAUGGAGCUUACAGGCAAGGCUUCCUGCUCGUGAAGGAAGGGGGAGCAACAAUUCCAGAGUUCUCCUCUUUUUUUUAAUCAGCACAUAUUCAGCAUAUGUAGUGGUUUUGUCUGUGUGUGUGGAGGACAGAGAUCAACCCUGGGGUUGUUGCAUAGAGGCCAUCUUCCUGAUUCCUGGGUUGCUGUUUUUUAAAUUACAUUUUUAUGUAUUUUAUUUUUGUAUAUAUAUGUGUGUGUAUGUAUUCAUUAUGUCUGUAUACAUGUGCAGGCUGGAGGACAACUUACAGGAGUUGGCUCUCUUGCCACCUGGGUCAUGGGAAUUUGACUCAGGUGUCAGGCCUGGCAGCAGGAGGCUUUACCCACUGAGGCAUCUUGCAGGUCCCCACCUUGUUUUUUGCAACAGGGAUCUGGAGCUUGCUGACUAGUAUAGACCUGCUGCCUGCAUAGAUUUGCUGCCUAGCAGGUCCACUUCCCCAGUGCUGGGGUUAUAGGCACAAGUCAUGGCCUGGCUUUUCAUGUGAGAGCUGGUUUCUGUUUGUGUGGCAAGCACUGUACUGACCUAUCUCCCCAGGGCCAGCACUGAGUUUCUUAGACAUUCUCCAGGUUCCCCCCAACCCUUAUUUUACAUGUGUGAGUGUUUGGCCUAUACAUUUCUGGUGCACCAUAUACAUUCAGUGCCUACCCAUGGAUUCCCUGGGACUGAAGUUACAGACAAUGUGAGAUACCAUGUGAGUGCUGGGAAUUGAAACCAGGCCCUGUUAGAUCAGCUACCAUGGCUCUAGAUGACUCUUAACUACUGAGCCAUCUCUCCAGGCCCUUUCUUAAGUGGAUUGACAAUGACAGAACAUGUCUGGAUCCAUCCUUAGACAUGCUUUUGCUGAAGUUGAUAGCACUAUUUCUUUGUUUUAUGUUUAAGUCCAUAAAUUAAAAGUAAUUGCAAGCUAUCUCUGAAGAAUAUUUAGAGAUAAUGAUGUACUUCGGCAAAGCCAUUAGAAUUCUUUUCAUGCCGGGCGUGGUGGUGCACGUCUUUAAUCCCAGCACUUGGGAGGCAGAGGCAGGUGGAUUUCUGAGUUUGAGGCCAGCCUGGUCUACAGAGUGAGUUCCAGGACAGCCAGGGCUACACAGAGAAACCCUGUCUCAGAAAGGAAAAAAAAAAAAAAAAAAAAAAAAAAAACCAACAAAAAGAAUUCUGUUGAUCAUUGAAGAUUUGGUUUUGAGUUGGAGAUGCAGCUCAGUUAGUAGGAUGCUUGCCUGGAAUGCUCAGCUCUGAGUUUGAUUCUUAGCACCACAGAAAAACUAGGCAGGGUGGUGGAUGCUUAUAAUUCCAGUUCUUGGGGGUUGGAAGCAGGAGAAUGGGAAGCCACAGUCAUUCCCUACCACAUAAUACAUUUGACCCCAAAUGUAUUAUCUCAAAAGAGAUUUGGUUUAAAGUAAACUAAUAAAUACCUACUAUUGCAGGUGUACCUUA
RNA transcript from Mus musculus (house mouse), 10856 nucleotides. It is a transcript of the gene named EMSY, BRCA2-interacting transcriptional repressor, with no coding region annotated. Lineage: Eukaryota; Metazoa; Chordata; Mammalia; Rodentia; Muridae. The transcript has 22 exons. The record is from RefSeq and is marked validated.